UAAAGGAGGUGUUGCAAUUCACUUAGUACACACAGAAGGUUACACAUAGUAACCUUCUGACUAAUGAUAUCUACUUUCCUCUUCUGAUAAAAGGGGGACACACGAGAAAACAGGAACUCACUAGGUGGCUAAAAGGAGGAAAUGCAGAGGGAGACCUUCCUGGGGAGAAAAGAACAGCAAAAGGAUGAUAAAAACAACCUUUAUCAACGUCAGCCAAUUUUGCCAAACCUACAGCUCUGUGAUCGUGCACCACUUCUAUGGGACUCAAUUUCUGAGUAUCUAAGAGACUGAGGACAGGAACAGCCACCUUAUGGAGGUUCUGUGAAGAUACACUGACGUCGGUCCACAAGUGUGAAAGUUACACGUCCCGGUUACAAAACCUGCC
Long non-coding RNA from Mustela erminea (ermine), 385 nucleotides. RefSeq lists it as uncharacterized. The record is from RefSeq and is a predicted model, not a curated record. Lineage: Eukaryota; Metazoa; Chordata; Mammalia; Carnivora; Mustelidae. The transcript is spliced from 3 exons.